This 253-nucleotide ribosomal RNA is filed under the name uncultured bacterium. Its description in RNAcentral is "partial 16S ribosomal RNA". It matches the Rfam family "Bacterial small subunit ribosomal RNA", at positions 524 to 776 of the family's 1533-position model. The record is from RNAcentral.
UACGUAGGGCGCAAGCGUUAUCCGGAAUUAUUGGGCGUAAAGAGCUCGUAGGCGGUUUGUCGCGUCUGCCGUGAAAGCCCGGGGCUCAACCCCGGAACAGCCUUUAAGACUGCAUCGCUAGAAUCCGGGAGAGGUGAGUGGAAUUCCGAGUGUAGAGGUGAAAUUCGUAGAUAUUCGGAAGAACACCAGUGGCGAAGGCGGCAUCCUGGUCCUAUUCUGACGCUGAGGCGCGAGAGCGUGGGGAGCAAACUGG